Molecule: non-coding RNA, 110 nt
Filed under: Rhodanobacter fulvus
Lineage: Bacteria; Pseudomonadati; Pseudomonadota; Gammaproteobacteria; Lysobacterales; Rhodanobacteraceae
Also listed under: 1 other name
Description: SAH sequence
Rfam family: SAH (S-adenosyl-L-homocysteine) riboswitch aptamer
Source: RNAcentral
CCCGCCGAGGGGCGCUGCGACCGUUUGUGAGCGCGAAUGCGGAUGCCUCCGCGUCUCACGGAAAACGGCCAGGCUCGGCGCGGCACGUUCCACAACGGCGCCCGGUUGUU